RNAcentral lists this ribosomal RNA (413 nucleotides) under uncultured bacterium. RNAcentral describes it as "bacterial SSU rRNA". It matches the Rfam family "Bacterial small subunit ribosomal RNA", at positions 28 to 426 of the family's 1533-position model. The record is from RNAcentral.
AAUCAACGCUGGCGGCGUGCCUAACACAUGCAAGUCGAACGCGAAAGCCCCUUCGGGGGCAAGUAGAGUGGCGUCCGGGUGAGUAACACGUGGGUAAUCUACCUCCGGGUGGGGAAUAACUCGCCGAAAGGCGGGCUAAUACCGCAUAAUGCAGCGGCACCGAAUGGUGAUUAGUUGUUAAAGCGGGGGACCUUAGGGCCUCGCGUCUGGAGAGGAGCCUGCGGCAGAUUAGCUUGUUGGAGGGUAAUGGCCUACCAAGGCUGCGAUCUGUAGCUGGUCUGAGAGGACGGCCAGCCACACUGGCACUGACACACGGGCCAGACUCCUACGGGAGGCAGCAGUGGGGAAUCUUGCGCAAUGGGCGAAAGCCUGACGCAGCGACGCCGCGUGGGGGAUGAAGGUCUUCGGAUUGU